ACAGCCUUGCUGUGCCACGAAAACCAAAACAAAAACAAACGAACAAUGGACCGUGCCAAGAAUACCAAAAAAUAAACAAAGUCACCUUCAUCGGAGUGACAGAGUCAGAUAUAGCGAUUUUGACAACCACACCACUACAUACUAAAUCGCGAGUACCUUAGGUAGAAAUCCAUGGAUGGAAGCUGACAUUGGUUGCUGACAGCCUUGGCUGGAAACUAUAGACAGAAUUUAAGUAGUGUCAGACUUUUAUAACUUCUUUUAACAACAUUUUAUUGGGAAAAAGUAUCGAAACAACUAAACAAGAAGAAAAUGCUAGUGCCUUUGCAAGUGUUUGAACAUGAUGUGUAUUCAUUCUACUAUGGAUACAGAGUACAAUAAAUUUAAAACUUUGAGAAAUUAAAAAAA
This is a long non-coding RNA of Culex quinquefasciatus (southern house mosquito), 405 nucleotides long. RefSeq lists it as uncharacterized. The record is from RefSeq and is a predicted model, not a curated record. Lineage: Eukaryota; Metazoa; Arthropoda; Insecta; Diptera; Culicidae. The transcript is spliced from 2 exons.